Molecule: ribosomal RNA, 400 nt
Filed under: phytoplankton environmental sample
Lineage: Eukaryota
Description: partial small subunit ribosomal RNA
Rfam family: Eukaryotic small subunit ribosomal RNA
Source: RNAcentral
AGCUCCAAUAGCGUAUAUUAAAGUUGCUGCAGUUAAAAAGCUCGUAGUUGAAUUUCUGUUGAAACUAGCCGGUCCGCUCUCUGAGUGUGUACCUGGUUUUAGGUUUCAGCAUCCUUCUGGUUGUACCUGCGAUACUUAACUGUGUCGUAGAUAUGCCAGGACUUUUACUUUGAGAAAAUUAGAGUGUUUCAAGCAGGCUAUUCGCCUUGAAUACUGUAGCAUGGAAUAAUAAAAUAGGAUUUCGGUUCUAUUUUGUUGGUUUCUAGAACUGAAGUAAUGAUUAAUAGGGACAGUUGGGGGCAUUCGAAUUUAGCUGUCAGAGGUGAAAUUCUUAGAUUUGCUAAAGACGAACUACUGCGAAAGCAUUUGCCAAGGAUGUUUUCAUUAAUCAAGAACGAAA